Molecule: ribosomal RNA, 478 nt
Filed under: uncultured bacterium
Lineage: Bacteria
Description: partial 16S ribosomal RNA
Rfam family: Bacterial small subunit ribosomal RNA
Source: RNAcentral
GAUGAACGCUAGCGGCAGGCUUAACACAUGCAAGUCGAGGGGUAUUUAUCUUCGGAUAGAGAGACCGGCGCACGGGGGCGUGACGCGUAUGCAAUCUACCUUUUACAGAGGGAUAGCCCAGAGAAAUUUGGAUUAAUACCUCAUAGUAUAUAGACACGGCAUAGGGAUUAUAUUAAAGGCACAACGGUAAAUGAUGAUCAUGCGUAACAUUAGCUGGUUGGUAAGGUCACGGCUUACCAAGGCUACGAUGGGUAGGGGUCGUGGGAGGCAGCUACACCUGACCGGUACUAAGACACGGACCAGACUGCUACGCAAGGCAGCAGUGAGUAAGACAGGAGAAUGGGCGCUAGCCCGAUCCAGCCACGCCGCGUGAAGAAGGACUGUGCUUUGGAUGGUAAACUGCUUUUAUACAAGAAGAACCACUGAUACGUGUAGCAGCUUGACGGUAUCGUAAGAAUAAGCAUCGGCUAACUUCGUG